RNAcentral lists this ribosomal RNA (305 nucleotides) under uncultured bacterium. Its description in RNAcentral is "partial 16S ribosomal RNA". It matches the Rfam family "Bacterial small subunit ribosomal RNA", at positions 505 to 807 of the family's 1533-position model. The record is from RNAcentral.
ACAGCAGCAGCCGCGGGAAUACGUAGGUGGCAAGCGUUGUCCGGAAUUAUUGGGCGUAAAGGGCUCGCAGGCGGUUUCUUAAGUCUGAUGUGAAAGCCCCCGGCUCAACCGGGGAGGGUCAUUGGAAACUGGGAAACUUGAGUGCAGAAGAGGAGAGUGGAAUUCCACGUGUAGCGGUGAAAUGCGUAGAGAUGUGGAGGAACACCAGUGGCGAAGGCGACUCUCUGGUCUGUAACUGACGCUGAGGAGCGAAAGCGUGGGGAGCGAACAGGAUUAGAUACCCGAGUAGUCCCUGUCUCUUAUAC